GUACACUCCUGCGGGAGGCAGCAGUGGGGAAUUUUGGACAAUGGGCGAAAGCCUGAUCCAGCAAUGCCGCGUGAGUGAAGAAGGCCUUCGGGUUGUAAAGCUCUUUUGUCAGGGAAGAAACGGUGAAAGCUAAUAUCUUUUGCUAAUGACGGUACCUGAAGAAUAAGCACCGGCUAACUACGUGCCAGCAGCCGCGGUAAUACGUAGGGUGCAAGCGUUAAUCGGAAUUACUGGGCGUAAAGCGUGCGCAGGCGGUUUUGUAAGUCUGAUGUGAAAUCCCCGGGCUCAACCUGGGAAUUACAUUGGAGACUGCAAGGCUAGAAUCUGGCAGAGGGGGGUAGAAUUCCACGUGUAGCAGUGAAAUGCGUAGAUAUGUGGAGGAACACCGAUGGCGAAGGCAGCCCCCUGGGUCAAGAUUGACGCUCAUGCACGAAAGCGUGGGGAGCAAACAGGAUGAGAAACCCCUGUAGUCCCAUGA
This 478-nucleotide ribosomal RNA is filed under the name uncultured organism. RNAcentral's name for it is "partial 16S ribosomal RNA". It matches the Rfam family "Bacterial small subunit ribosomal RNA", at positions 331 to 800 of the family's 1533-position model. The record is from RNAcentral.